GUCCUCUUGUUUAUAUAUGAGGUCUGACCUGCCCGGUGAAAGUUAUUUUAACGGCCGCAGUAUUUUGACUGUGCAAAGGUAGCAUAAUCAUUAGUCUUUUAAUAGGGGGCUGGUAUGAAGGGUUUGACGAGGUGUUAACUGUCUCAUUUAAUUUGUAUUUAGAAUUUAACUUUUCAGUUAAAAGGCUGAAAUUGUAUUGGAAGACGAGAAGACCCUAUAGAGCUUUAUAAUUAUUAUUUUAAUUGUUUUUUGUGAUAUAAAUUAUGAUUAUAAUCUUAAUUAUUUUGUUGGGGUGACAAAAAUAUAUAUUUAACUUUUUUAUUUAAUUGACAUUGAUUUAUGAAUAUUAGAUCCAGUCUUAUUGAUUGUUAGAUUAAGUUACC
This 383-nucleotide ribosomal RNA is filed under the name Gomphus hybridus. RNAcentral describes it as "partial 16S ribosomal RNA". The record is from RNAcentral. Lineage: Eukaryota; Metazoa; Arthropoda; Insecta; Odonata; Gomphidae.